CCACACAGUCGCCAUGGUCAGCGCCGACGGCACCCAGACGCAGCCCGUACGACCAGGCCGCUUGCUUGGGGUUCUUCCUCUCUUGUCCUUCCUUUCUGUGCGACAGGCCUUAAAAAGUGCGGGCUAAAUUAGUCCAGCCUUCUUAGGAGGACCAAGAUUCCCACAGAUAAAGCGUCUUCCCUACAACUCUGGGUCAUCAGCAACUCUCCUUUGUUGACAAGCAUUGAUCUGAGAGUCAAGAGACAGUUUGCUUGCUGCCGUAGGCAUGUUGCAUGUUACUUUUCCAUGAGCUUUAGUCCAUUUUCAAAUGAGGGUAUUAAAUUACCUGUGGGGCGUUUUACAUCUCUGUCCUU
This 353-nucleotide long non-coding RNA is filed under the name Bos taurus (domestic cattle). RNAcentral describes it as "long non-coding RNA NONBTAT014243". The record is from RNAcentral. Lineage: Eukaryota; Metazoa; Chordata; Mammalia; Artiodactyla; Bovidae.